UGGGGCGUGACCGGUCGUGGGCGGAGCUAGUGCGGGUCGAAGUUGCGCGAGUCGCCAGAGGGUAGCACCAGAACGGAUGAUCACAACUAGUGCAGCAGCAUCCAGAAAUUUGACUUGCCAUAAAGAAAAAGACCAAGAAGAAGGGAAUCUAAUAGAGAGGCUUUUGUCCUUGAAGCCUGUGAUGAGCAGCUGUGCUGGGGAAAUCCAAGAAGUCUCUCUGAGGAAAUUAGAUUGUGAGACACAGUUAAAGAAUGUGCCUUCUGAAAAAUCCUAGCUAGGUGAAAAUAGUCAAAGUCAGUCAAAAAAUAGUAAAAAAAAAAAAAAAAAAAAAUCCAAGCUAGAUGAAAAUACCUAGGUAAAAAUUACUAUCAUGCAGUAACUUUUUUUGUCUUUAGACUCUGGUUUGAACAACUAAAGGCUGAA
This is a long non-coding RNA of Sapajus apella (tufted capuchin), 423 nucleotides long. RefSeq lists it as uncharacterized. NCBI's taxonomy places the organism in Eukaryota, Metazoa, Chordata, Mammalia, Primates, Cebidae. The record is from RefSeq and is a predicted model, not a curated record. The transcript has 2 exons.